RNAcentral lists this long non-coding RNA (240 nucleotides) under Phoenix dactylifera (date palm). RNAcentral's name for it is "long non-coding RNA (PDAC_LNC001763)". Lineage: Eukaryota; Viridiplantae; Streptophyta; Magnoliopsida; Arecales; Arecaceae. The record is from RNAcentral.
CGUUGCUAAGAGAUUCGGGAGAGUUUCACGGCCAAUCCUUGUAGAUAGACAUGCUAGAGAUUCUUCUACAAUGCCCCCACAAGGUGAGACAUGUGUAGAGCCUCCUCCACCUCCUUCCUCUUCAGUUCAACUUGCAAAAUAUGCGGGGAGACCGGUAACCACUGGGAGAAGGAUCCACUCCGAAUUUUUGGAUCAAGAAGGGUUCCGUUUGGGGGAUUGGAUCCGAAGGCAAGGAUGGGA